UACGUAGGGUGCGAGCGUUAAUCGGAAUUACUGGGCGUAAAGAGUGCGUAGGCGGUCCCGCAAGUCCGCUGUGAAAGCCCCGGGCUUAACCUGGGAAUGGCAGUGGAAACUAUGGGACUUGAAUCUGGCAGAGGGGGGUGGAAUGCCACGUGUAGCAGUGAAAUGCGUAGAGAUGUGGCGGAACACCGAUGGCGAAGGCGGCUCACUGGCCCGAUACUGACGCUGAGGCACGAAAGCGUGGGGAGCAAACAGG
RNAcentral lists this ribosomal RNA (253 nucleotides) under uncultured bacterium. RNAcentral describes it as "partial 16S ribosomal RNA". It matches the Rfam family "Bacterial small subunit ribosomal RNA", at positions 524 to 776 of the family's 1533-position model. The record is from RNAcentral.